RNAcentral lists this ribosomal RNA (596 nucleotides) under uncultured bacterium. Its description in RNAcentral is "bacterial SSU rRNA". It matches the Rfam family "Bacterial small subunit ribosomal RNA", at positions 338 to 945 of the family's 1533-position model. The record is from RNAcentral.
CCUACGGGAGGCAGCAGUAGGGGAAUUUUCCGCAAUGGGCGAAAGCCUGACGGAGCAAUACCGCGUGAGGGAAGAAUGCCUACGGGUUGUAAACCUCUUUUUUCAGGGAGGAACAUAAUGACGUGUACCUGAAGAAUAAGCAUCGGCUAACUCCGUGCCAGCAGCCGCGGUAAGACGGAGGAUGCAAGUGUUAUCCGGAAUCACUGGGCGUAAAGCGUCUGUAGGUGGUUUAAUAAGUCAACUGUUAAAUCUUGAGGCUCAACCUCAAAAUCGCAGUCGAAACUAUUAGACUAGAGUAUAGUAGGGGUAAAGGGAAUUUCCAGUGGAGCGGUGAAAUGCGUAGAGAUUGGAAAGAACACCGAUGGCGAAAGCACUUUACUAGGCUAUUACUGACACUCAGAGACGAAAGCUAGGGUAGCAAAUGGGAUUAGAUACCCCAGUAGUCCUAGCUGUAAACUAUGGAUACUAGAUGUUGAACAGAUCGACCUGUGCAGUAUCAAAGCUAACGCGUUAAGUAUCCCGCCUGGGGAAGUAUGCUCGCAAGGGUNAAACUUAANGAAUUGACGNNGAGAGNGCGAGACGACGACGAGGAGAGG